Molecule: non-coding RNA, 62 nt
Organism: Hafnia alvei FB1
Lineage: Bacteria; Pseudomonadati; Pseudomonadota; Gammaproteobacteria; Enterobacterales; Hafniaceae
Rfam family: Pseudomonas sRNA P26
About the family: P26 is conserved across many Gammaproteobacteria species and appears to be consistently located between the DNA directed RNA polymerase (beta subunit) and 50S ribosomal protein L7/L12 genes.
Source: Rfam
ACUCUUUUGGUAGCAGCCUAAGCAAUUAGGCUGAUGGCUGGUGACUUUUUGGUCACCAGCCU